Long non-coding RNA from Monomorium pharaonis (pharaoh ant), 542 nucleotides. RefSeq lists it as uncharacterized. Lineage: Eukaryota; Metazoa; Arthropoda; Insecta; Hymenoptera; Formicidae. The transcript has 2 exons. The record is from RefSeq and is a predicted model, not a curated record.
UAGGUCUUUACGCGUACCAAGUGCUCGGUGUAAACAUGUCUGCUGUAGGCCGUAAGCAGUAAGGCAGUACGAAAUGAAAACAUUUUCUACACUGAUCUCAUUAAAGUGGAUAUGGCAUAGGACGAAAUAAGUGUGACCAAUUGAAGGUUGUAGUCUCUGUACACAAUAUGGCGGUGUAUACGAAUACGAACACAGUUUACUGUGACGAUGAUACGAAAUUCCACGUGUAAUUAAUUAUCUAUAGACGUAGAUGUGUAGCAGUUUUAUCCAAAAUAUUACUUUUUUUAUAAUAAAAAUAGUGAGUAAAAUAGUGAGAUUCCAAAAUUAAAAAAUGUGUUUAUUGUGGAAAAGGAAGUGAAAAUAAACAACAAACGUUUCAUAGCUGCAAGUAUGGAUUAUUACAACACAAUUAAGGACACGAGGACAAAAUAAGCUAUAACAAUACCCUUUAAACUUAUUUAUAAGUUUAGUAGUAGUAGUAUUAUUUAUUAGUAAAAUUAUUUAACAAGAUGGUCAUAAAUAAAAAUUUACGAUUUUUAGAC